CCCUUAGAUGUUCUGGGCCGCACGCGCGCUACACUGAUGCAUUCAACGAGUCUAAAACCUGCUCUGAUAGGGGUGGGUAAUCUUUUGAAUGUGCAUCGUGAUUGGGAUAGAUGAUUGCAAUUUUUCAUCUUCAACGAGGAAUGCCUAGUAAACGCAAGUCAUCAGGCUGUGCUGAUUACGUCCCUGCCCUUUGUACACACCGCCCGUCGCUCCUACCGAUUUCGAGUGGUCCGGUGAACCAUCUGGAUUGGAUCGCAAGAUUCGAGAAGUUUAGUAAACCUUAUCACUUAGAGGAAGGAGAAGUCGUAACA
Molecule: ribosomal RNA, 311 nt
Filed under: uncultured eukaryote
Lineage: Eukaryota
Description: partial 18S ribosomal RNA
Rfam family: Eukaryotic small subunit ribosomal RNA
Source: RNAcentral